Molecule: long non-coding RNA, 114 nt
Organism: Rhinopithecus roxellana (golden snub-nosed monkey)
Lineage: Eukaryota; Metazoa; Chordata; Mammalia; Primates; Cercopithecidae
Exons: 3
Source: RefSeq, a predicted model, not a curated record
AAGAGCCGGGAAAAGCUCCUGAAACCAAACAAGGGACUGUAAAAAUUGCAGCACAAGCAGCUAGAAAGGAUGAAAAGAAGGAAGAUUCCAAGAAAACAAAAACACCUGCAGAAG